CCUACGGGAGGCAGCAGUGAGGAAUAUUGGUCAAUGGGCGCGAGCCUGAACCAGCCAAGUAGCGUGAAUGAUGACUGCCCUACGGGUUGUAAACUUCUUUUAUAAAGGAAUAAAGUUAGGCACGUGUGCCUUUUUGGAUUGACUUUAUGAAUAAGGAUCGGCUCACUCCGUGCCAGCAGCCGCGGGAAUACGGAGGGUCCGAGCGUUAAUCGGAUUUAUUGGGUUUAAAGGGAGCGUAGGUGGGUUGUUAAGUCAGUUGUGAAAGUUUGCGGCUCAACCGAACAAUUGCAAUUGAUACUGGCAGCCUUGAGUACAGUUGAGGUAGGCGGAAUUCGUGGUGUAGCGGUGAAAUGCUUAGAUAUCACGAAGAACUCCGAUUGCGAAGGCAGCUUACUAAACAGCCACUGACAUUGAUGCGCGAAAGUGUGGGUAUCAAACAGGAUUAGAUACCCCAGUAGUC
Molecule: ribosomal RNA, 460 nt
Filed under: uncultured bacterium
Lineage: Bacteria
Description: partial 16S ribosomal RNA
Rfam family: Bacterial small subunit ribosomal RNA
Source: RNAcentral